AACAAUGUCAUUACAACCUUGGUGGCGAAAUGUGUCAGGUCAGAAAUGAAGCAGCACUAAGCAUAAUCCUUUGUGUGUAGUGACAUUUUAAUA
This 93-nucleotide signal recognition particle RNA is filed under the name Mycoplasmataceae bacterium. RNAcentral's name for it is "signal recognition particle sRNA small type". It matches the Rfam family "Bacterial small signal recognition particle RNA". Rfam says of the family: The signal recognition particle (SRP) is a universally conserved ribonucleoprotein involved in the co-translational targeting of proteins to membranes. Archaeal SRP consists of a 7S RNA and homologues of the eukaryotic SRP19 and SRP54 proteins. The record is from RNAcentral. Lineage: Bacteria; Bacillati; Mycoplasmatota; Mollicutes; Mycoplasmatales; Mycoplasmataceae.